GCUCAGUUGGGAUGGCUCAGUUGGUUGAGCAUCAGACUCUUAAUGUCAGGGCUGUUGGUUUGAGCCCUACAUUGGGCA
Non-coding RNA from Podarcis lilfordi (Lilford's wall lizard), 78 nucleotides. The record is from the annotation of a GenBank genome assembly. Lineage: Eukaryota; Metazoa; Chordata; Lepidosauria; Squamata; Lacertidae.